UUCGGUCCCUAUCUGCCGUGGGCGCUGGAGAACUGAGGGGGGCUGCUCCUAGUACGAGAGGACCGGAGUGGACGCAUCACUGGUGUUCGGGUUGUCAUGCCAAUGGCACUGCCCGGUAGCUAAAUGCGGAAGAGAUAAGUGCUGAAAGCAUCUAAGCACGAAACUUGCCCCGAGAUGAGUUCUCCCUGACUCCCUGAGAGUCCUGAAGGAACGUUGAAGACGACGACGUUGAUAGGCCGGGUGUGUAAGCGCAGCGAUGCGUUGAGCUAACCGGUACUAAUGAACCGUGAGGCUUAACCUUACAACGCCGAAGCUGUU
RNAcentral lists this ribosomal RNA (318 nucleotides) under Escherichia coli. RNAcentral's name for it is "partial 23S ribosomal RNA". It matches the Rfam family "Bacterial large subunit ribosomal RNA", at positions 2630 to 2925 of the family's 2925-position model. The record is from RNAcentral. Lineage: Bacteria; Pseudomonadati; Pseudomonadota; Gammaproteobacteria; Enterobacterales; Enterobacteriaceae.